UACGUAGGGGGCAAGCGUUAUCCGGAUUUACUGGGUGUAAAGGGAGCGUAGACGGCAGAGCAAGUCCGGAGUGAAAGCCCGGGGCCCAACCCCGGGACUGCCCUUGGAACUGCAUGGCUGGAGUGCGGGAGGGGCAGGCGGAAUUCCUGGUGUAGCGGUGAAAUGCGUAGAUAUCAGGAGGAACACCGGCGGCGAAGGCGGCCUGCUGGACCGCGACUGACGUUGAGGCUCGAAAGCGUGGGGAGCGAACAGG
This 253-nucleotide ribosomal RNA is filed under the name uncultured bacterium. RNAcentral describes it as "partial 16S ribosomal RNA". It matches the Rfam family "Bacterial small subunit ribosomal RNA", at positions 524 to 776 of the family's 1533-position model. The record is from RNAcentral.